This 27-nucleotide non-coding RNA is filed under the name Mus musculus (house mouse). Lineage: Eukaryota; Metazoa; Chordata; Mammalia; Rodentia; Muridae. The record is from RNAcentral.
UAGGUAGGUCACCUCGGUGCGGCAUAG